CCUACGGGAGGCAGCAGUGAGGAAUAUUGGUCAAUGGACGUAAGUCUGAACCAGCCAUGCCGCGUGCAGGAAGACGGCUCUAUGAGUUGUAAACUGCUUUUGUACAAGGGUAAACCUGAAUACGUGUAUUCCGCUGAAAGUACUGUACGAAUAAGGAUCGGCUAACUCCGUGCCAGCAGCCGCGGGGAUCCGGAGGAUCCAGGCGUUAUGCGGAUUUAGUUGGUGUAAAGGGUGCGGAGGCGGAUUGAUAAGUUAGAGGGGAAAUGGCCGAGGUUAACUCGGGAUCUGCCUAUAAUACUGGUGAGCUAGAGAGUAGAUGCGGUAGGCGGAAUGUAUGGUGUAGCGGUGAAAUGCUUAGAGAUCAUACAGAACACCGAUUGCGAAGGCAGCUUACCAGGGUAUAUCUGACGUUGAGGCACGAAAGCGUGGGGAGCAAACAGGAUUAGAUACCCUUGUAGUC
This 460-nucleotide ribosomal RNA is filed under the name uncultured bacterium. RNAcentral's name for it is "partial 16S ribosomal RNA". It matches the Rfam family "Bacterial small subunit ribosomal RNA", at positions 338 to 795 of the family's 1533-position model. The record is from RNAcentral.